RNAcentral lists this signal recognition particle RNA (93 nucleotides) under Candidatus Babelota bacterium. Its description in RNAcentral is "Candidatus Dependentiae bacterium signal recognition particle sRNA small type". It matches the Rfam family "Bacterial small signal recognition particle RNA". Rfam says of the family: The signal recognition particle (SRP) is a universally conserved ribonucleoprotein involved in the co-translational targeting of proteins to membranes. Archaeal SRP consists of a 7S RNA and homologues of the eukaryotic SRP19 and SRP54 proteins. The record is from RNAcentral.
UUUGGAUGGGGAAGCGAUUUUUUUUAAUCUAAUCCGUCAGGUCUGAAAAGAAGCAGCGUCGGUUAUUAAAAAUGUGCAACCCCAUCCUUUUUU